AUCGGCCAUUCUUUGAAUUUUUACUUUUCUAGUUGAAAAUAUUAUUUAAGUUUAAUCACAUAAUUUUAGUGCUCUAUUUUUAUUCAUUGAAUUAAUCUUUUAUUUUAAAACAAUUUAUCAAGAUGCUAAGAAUUCAACUCAUACUUCUGUAAAGAAUUUAGAGUUAUCAUAAUUGCUUGAUGAAGGAAACAUGAUUCAGAGUUCACUUAUCGUAAUCCCCUUUAUUACAAACAAACAAAAUCAGCUAACGGCGAUUUCACCACAAAAUCAGCUUAUGACUAUAUGACGCAAUCUGGUUCAAAAUCAGCUAACGGCGAUUUCACUUUCUUGUUCGCACAGACAGUCAUUUCCGUUUUCCAGUUCUCUGCAGAGUACAUCUUUUAAGCGUGAUUGCCUUCAAUUUUAUUGCAGGAGAUAUUUGCCGUGGAGUUUUAGAUUGAUUAACAUUCAAUGGCUCAAUGGCAGAUUUUCAUCAGUUUUAGAGGAGAAGAUACUCGCUACUCUUUUACGGGUUUUCUCUAUGAUGCUCUUUGUCGAGGAGGAUUCAAGACAUUCAUGGAUGUUGACGGAUUGCACAAGGGGGACCAAAUUUCACCCGCUCUUAUUAAUGCAAUUGAAGCAUCAAGACUUUCAAUUGUUGUGUUAUCUGAAAACUAUGCAAGUUCCUCUUGGUGUCUUGAUGAGCUUGCUAAGAUCAUUGAGUGCAUGCAAUCAAGGAAUCAAUUGGUCUGGCCUAUCUUUUACAAAGUGGAACCAACAAACAUCAGGAAACUAGAAAACAAUUAUGGUGAGUCUAUGACCAACAAUUAGGAAGUGACUCAGACAGAUUUGAAAAAUGGAAGUCUGCUUUGGCUAAAGUUACUGGUUUGGCUGGAGAAACUUAUAAAAUUGCCGGGUACGAGUACGAAUAUAAAUUUAUCCAAAAGAUCGUGGAAGAUGCCGAUAAGAUUAAAAAUCGAUUGUAUAUACGAAGUGUGGACAUGGACUAGAAGGAUGCCUAUAUUUCCCCUUACAAUAAGUGCUACACUAGACAUAAGUGCUACUUGUCAGAAAUGAAUUACGAUUGUAAUAUACAAGUUCAAUGAUAUGUUGUUUUUGAAUAUAUUUGUCAUACUCAAACUUAUCUUCUUCAUUUGUUGCAUAUAUCUCUCAGUGGUCUGCUAUAGAAUUC
Long non-coding RNA from Trifolium pratense (red clover), 1171 nucleotides. RefSeq lists it as uncharacterized. Lineage: Eukaryota; Viridiplantae; Streptophyta; Magnoliopsida; Fabales; Fabaceae. The transcript has 3 exons. The record is from RefSeq and is a predicted model, not a curated record.